GGACGAACGCUGGCGGCAUGCCUAAUACAUKCAAGUCGAGCGGASUUGAWRRGAAGCUUGCUUYYYUGAURSUUAGCGGCGGACGGGUGAGUAACACGUAGGCAACCUGCCCUCAAGUUUGGGACAACUACCGGAAACGGUAGCUAAUACCGAAUARUUGUUUUCUUCGCCUGAAGGAAACUGGAAAGACGGAGCAAUCUGUCACUUGGGGAUGGGCCUGCGGCGCAUUAGCUAGUUGGUGGGGUAACGGCUCACCAAGGCGACGAUGCGUAGCCGACCUGAGAGGGUGAUCGGCCACACUGGGACUGAGACACGGCCCAGACUCCUACGGGAGGCAGCAGUAGGGAAUCUUCCGCAAUGGGCGAAAGCCUGACGGAGCAAUGCCGCGUGAGUGAUGAAGGUUUUCGGAUCGUAAAGCUCUGUUGCCAGGGAAGAACGCUUGGGAGAGUAACUGCUCUCAAGGUGACGGUACCUGAGAAGAAAGCCCCGGCUAACUACGU
Molecule: ribosomal RNA, 500 nt
Filed under: Paenibacillus pabuli
Lineage: Bacteria; Bacillati; Bacillota; Bacilli; Caryophanales; Paenibacillaceae
Description: partial 16S ribosomal RNA
Rfam family: Bacterial small subunit ribosomal RNA
Source: RNAcentral